Molecule: transfer RNA, 85 nt
Filed under: Guyparkeria hydrothermalis
Lineage: Bacteria; Pseudomonadati; Pseudomonadota; Gammaproteobacteria; Chromatiales; Thioalkalibacteraceae
Also listed under: 11 other names
Description: tRNA-Leu
Rfam family: tRNA
About the family: Transfer RNA (tRNA) molecules are approximately 80 nucleotides in length. Their secondary structure includes four short double-helical elements and three loops (D, anti-codon, and T loops).
Source: RNAcentral
GCGGACGUGGUGGAACUGGUAGACACGCUAUCUUGAGGGGGUAGUGGCGAAAGCCGUGUGGGUUCGAGUCCCACCGUCCGCACCA